UGGGAAAGAGGAGCCUCAAGCUGACACUGU
RNAcentral lists this non-coding RNA (30 nucleotides) under Homo sapiens (human). The record is from RNAcentral. Lineage: Eukaryota; Metazoa; Chordata; Mammalia; Primates; Hominidae.